Molecule: long non-coding RNA, 2422 nt
Organism: Eucalyptus grandis
Lineage: Eukaryota; Viridiplantae; Streptophyta; Magnoliopsida; Myrtales; Myrtaceae
Exons: 2
Source: RefSeq, a predicted model, not a curated record
UCCUCCUUUGAGCUUCUUAUUUCUCUUUUGUUUCUUUCAUUGCCGCCUCUGCUUUUCUUUCUCAUUCUCGAACCAGCGAAGCCUCACGCGCAGCCAUUCCACUCACCGAAGCUGCUCCCCUGCUUCUUGUCUUCGUUCAGCCCAUGCACGGUCAACACCCUCACCCCACCGAACCCUUGUUUGACCGCUCCACUCCACCGUUUGUUGCAGCUUCUUCAUCAUCGUCCCGUCUGCCCUCUCUCCUCACGCCACCGAAGCCACUCACCCCGACCAUCCUUGUCUUCUUGCCGAUUUGUUGACAUCGGACCUUCAACGCCAGCCGCUCAAAGCCAACGCCAGCUGCCGUCCAUCUGUCCACCGAUUCAACCGAGUAGCGCCAGCGAAUUCGGCCAGCAAAUCCAGCGAACUCCCCUCCUUCGCGUGCCUUCCCCGGUCAAAGCAGCAGCCCAUCUUCGGGCUUUCUUGUUCGGCCCAGCUUCUCCAACGCAAGUCUAACAGCCCACGUGAAUGUCAUCUUCAAGCCCAGCAAUUUGAAGCCCAAGUAAGAUCAGUCCAGUAAUUUGAAACCCAAGCCCGUUCAGCCCAACUUUGGCCCAGCCCAACUCACUAACAAAUCUCAAUUUGGGCUGAGAUUUGUUAGGUCAGUUUUAGGCCCGGUCCAAGCCCGUUGACGCCGUCGCAAACCCGAGUUUUGGCCACCGUCGCGGUGAAUCGGUCUUCGCUUUACACCAGUGAGUUUAUGCACUAAACUCUUCUUAGUAGGCUAAUGACGUUUAAGGGGUGUUUAGAUUUAUUUAAGUGUAAUUUAGUUUAAUUAUUAGUUUAGUUAGUUAAAUUAGGUUAGUUAAAUUAAUUAAUUGGGUGGUUAGAAAUUAUAGUUAAUUAGAUUAGUGUAUUGUUAUAUAGUGGUUCUUGCAGCUGAAUCUGCAAUUAGAUGAGCUAGACGUCGGGUAUAAUCGGCUCACCAGCGAGCCACCCACCUCGUUGAUGUUCUUAGACGUCCGAUCCAAUGUGGACUUGAGUUCAAACCUCUAUGAAGGUCCUCUUACUAUGUGGUCUACCAAUGUGACGACACUGUAUCUCAGAGAUAAUCACUUCUCCGGUCCCAUUCCUCCCACUAUUGGCAAACUCAUGCCAUACCUGACACAUUUAGAUAUCUCUCAGAAUGCCCUAAAUGGUACCAUUCCCUUGUCCAUUGGGAAUAUGACCACUUUGACUACCUUAGUCAUCUCCAACAAUUACCUAUCAGGAGAAAUACCGUGGUUCUGGAGUGACUUGUCCUUGCUGUACAUUUUCUGACAUGUCAAACAAUAACCUUUCGGGUCCGAUACCAAGCGAGAACUGCAGCUCUCUGGCCAGUCUCGAUCUCGCCCAUAACAGGUUCUCCGGAAACAUUCCAGCAUCGACUGGAGGGAGCAUUACUUCGUUGCUGAUUUUGCGCCUACGAUCGAACUUGUUUUCCAGGGAGAUUCCUACUCAGAUAUGCCAUCUUUCGAAUCUCCACAUAGUGGACCUCUCACACAACAGCCUGUCAGGAUCAAUCCCGGUGUGCAUCGGAAACUUAACUGGCUUGAAAGUGGAGCUCACAAAUGCCGACAGGGUGAGGUACCAGGGACGCUUGACUGUGGUGGCCAAAGGAAAGAUUUCUUCAAUAUGAUGAAAGGAUUCUUUACCUCGUCAACAGUUUGGAUCUCUCCGACAACCGCCUGUCGGGGGAGAUUCCUGAAAGGCUAAUGAGCCUCGUGAGGUUGUGGACCUUGAAUUUGUCCAUAAACCAUCUCAUUGGAAAAAUACUGGUCGACAUCGGGAACUUGGAGCGGCUGGAGACACUUGACUUAUCAAGCAACGAUCUCUCGGGGCUGAUUCCUCGGAGCAUGACCACUUUAACAAAGCUGAAUUACUUGAACCUGUCGUGCAAUGACUUUUCGGGGAAAAUCCCCACAGCCAACCAGUUCCUAAACCUCAAUGAGCCAUCUAUUUACAAGGGCAACGUUGACCUCUGUGGGAUUCCAUUGGCAGAGUCAUGCCUGGGAGAAGAGAAACAGCCACAAUCUACUGACGAUGUCGAUGGAAACAGCAAGAGCAAAGAUGGAGACGAUGAUCUCGAAUAUUUCUGGCUAUUCCUGAGCAUUGGGCUCGGUUUCUUUGUUGGGUUCUGUGGUGUCUGCGGCACUUGGUAAAGAAGUCCUGGAGAGAGGCUUACUACGGUUACCUCGACAGAAUGAAGAACAAGCUAACUGCACUCAGCGCACGUUGGACAAACUAGUAUCAUGUAUUCUGGGAUUUCAAUUCAGUGCUUUCAUAAAGCUGUCUUCCAUACCAUCAUUAGACAUCUUAUAAAUGUAGCAGUUAUUUACAACAAGCAUAGGGAACAAACCGUACAUGUUUCAGGUAUUGUCAAUAAAUGAGUUUUGUGCAGUAA